UUCUUGCUUCUUCUGUAACAUCAUGGCCCCUGCCUCUUUGGAUACUCUAAGAUGUCAAAUCGACUGAGGAUGACUCCUGAGGACCCUUUGAGAUGAUUACCAUCGUUGUAGGUGGAACCAGAAAAGAGAAAAUUUCUGUUCUUCUGAUCAUUUGUCAAAUUCAGCUCGAAACAGGAUCUUGAGUACAGAACAUUUUUCCUGGUUGCUGCAUAGCUCAGUUAAUCUGUAUAUCAUGGGAGUGUGUUAUUGAGAGCAUUUGCAGAAGGGUGGAACCAGGAGCUCAUGGCUCAAGCAGGAAAAUGUUUCAUUAUUUGCAGAGCAAGAGAAUGAAACUCCUGAGACCUGAAUUUCAGGGCUCCUUGAAAUGAUGGAUGCAUUCUUUUAACUUGGUGGAGAAAAAGAACAUAAUAAAUUCGAGAAAAUA
This 424-nucleotide long non-coding RNA is filed under the name Homo sapiens (human). RNAcentral's name for it is "non-protein coding lnc-MFSD14B-5:1". The record is from RNAcentral. Lineage: Eukaryota; Metazoa; Chordata; Mammalia; Primates; Hominidae.